UAAUUGAAGAGUUUGAUCAUGGCUCAGAUUGAACGCUGGCGGCAGGCCUAACACAUGCAAGUCGGGCGGUAACAGGGAGAAG
Molecule: ribosomal RNA, 82 nt
Filed under: Morganella morganii
Lineage: Bacteria; Pseudomonadati; Pseudomonadota; Gammaproteobacteria; Enterobacterales; Morganellaceae
Description: partial 16S ribosomal RNA
Rfam family: Bacterial small subunit ribosomal RNA
Source: RNAcentral